Non-coding RNA from Brachypodium distachyon (stiff brome), 144 nucleotides. The record is from Rfam. Lineage: Eukaryota; Viridiplantae; Streptophyta; Magnoliopsida; Poales; Poaceae.
AUAGUACUCCCUCCGUCCGGUACUAAGUGUCGCAAAAAAAAUUAGAUAUGAAUGUAUCUACGGUUCUACACACUAAAACGUGUCUAGGCACAUGCGUGCUUAGAAAAAGUUGCGACACUUAAUACCGGAUGGAGGGAGUAGCAU